RNAcentral lists this non-coding RNA (213 nucleotides) under Sphingomonas sp. Lineage: Bacteria; Pseudomonadati; Pseudomonadota; Alphaproteobacteria; Sphingomonadales; Sphingomonadaceae. The record is from RNAcentral. RNAcentral also lists the same sequence under 1 other name.
AUCCGCACAGAUCGCGUCGGUGCCCUUCGGGGCUUGAAUGGGAAUGCGGUGCGGGGUUCGCCCCAAGACCGCAGCUGUCCCUGCAACUGUAAGCGGCGAGCGACACGCACGCGCCCCCUGCGACGGGGGCAGCCACUGGGCCGAUGGCCUGGGAAGGUGUGCGUCGAGCCUUGACCCGCGAGCCAGGAGACCUGCCGGCGUCUGGUCGCUCUU